CCUAUGUGACUGGGCAAGUUACACUCUUAAAGGUUUCCUUUCAGUGAGAGGAUUGGAUUAGAUGGUCACUAAGAUCCUUUCAUCGUGAAAUCUAUGAUGCUUGAUGAAGCCCUCUGCUGCCCUCCGCUGUUUAAAGGAGAGAGUUCAGAGGGUGAUGACAAUUGAGCACAGGGCAUUCAAUCAUCCGGUCUUUUACUGUGGAAAGUCUUGACUCUGAACACACCUGAAAGACAUAAGUCACUUACAACUAUGAUUCUGAGAAAGGAUCCAUAAUCUUUACCAGACUGUCAAAGGCAUAGACAGCAUAACAAAGUCUUGCUACAUAUCUAUAAUUCUAUUUCUGAGCCACAGGGCCUUCCCUCAGAGUUAUCUGGUAAGUGUUUGAUGUACCUGAUACUAUCCACAAUAUUUAUGGAUUUUAUCUAGGACAUUUUUUGUUUGUUUUAAAGCCU
Molecule: long non-coding RNA, 452 nt
Organism: Sarcophilus harrisii (Tasmanian devil)
Lineage: Eukaryota; Metazoa; Chordata; Mammalia; Dasyuromorphia; Dasyuridae
Exons: 3
Source: RefSeq, a predicted model, not a curated record